UAGCAAGUUACACAGGGUCUUGGGUGUUACACGGGGUCUAGUACAUGACCCAUGUACUGAAGUCCUUCCAUCUCCUUCAAGUUCCCUUGGGCAAGAGGUUACACGAGUCAUUAUUUCUAGCUUACACUACCUGUGUACUAUUAUGCAAUAAGCUUUCUUGACUCUCCUAACUUCUCAAACUAUUUAAUCGACUUCUAUGCUUUGGAUCUCUAUUAAAA
RNAcentral lists this unclassified non-coding RNA (218 nucleotides) under Hevea brasiliensis (rubber tree). Lineage: Eukaryota; Viridiplantae; Streptophyta; Magnoliopsida; Malpighiales; Euphorbiaceae. The record is from RNAcentral.